GAUUAAGCCAUGCAUGUGUAAGUACGAGCAAUCUGUAUGCUCUGACCGUGGACGGCUCAUUAUAUCAGCUAUUAUUUGUUGGAUCUGUACACCCAGUUUAAUUGGAUAACUGUGGUAAUUCUAGAGCUAAUACAUGAUUCCUAUAGUCCCCGACUCCUUGUGUCAAAACUGGGAGGAAGGGUGCUUUUAUUAUUGAACUCAAACUGGUUUGCGCGUCUUUCGGGACGUUUAAGCAAAAACCCCUAUUAUGAUGACUCAGAAUAACUUCUUGCUGAGCGCACGGCCUUCGCGUCGGCGCCGCUUCUUUCAAGUGUCUGCCUUAUCAGCUUUCGAUUGUAAGUUACACGCUUACAAUGGCUAUAACGGGUAACGGGGAAUCAGGGUUCGAUUCCGGAGAGGGAGCCUGAGAAACGGCUACCACUUCCAAGGAAGGCAGCAGGCACGCAAAUUACCCACUCCCGGCUCGGGGAGGUAGUGACGAAAAAUAACGAUGCAAGACUCAUCUGAGCCUAUGUAAUCGGAAUGAGAACACUUUAAAUCCUUUAUCUAGUAUCCAUUGGAGGGCAAGUCUGGUGCCAGCAGCCGCGGUAAUUCCAGCUCCAAUAGCAUAUACCAAUGUUGCUGCGGUUAAAAAGCUCGUAGUUGGGUUUCGAGAAGAGCUUUGUGAGGUCCGCCUUACCGAGAGGUGGCGGACUUUAAUACAAAUGCCUCUGGAAAUUGGGACGCGCGUASCCUCCCUCGUCCGGGCGGCCGUCACCUCUGUUUCGGGUGGGGUUUCGUCCCCUCGCGAUUCAAGUGUAUGCCGUUUUCCGGCGUGCGGAGUGCGCCGCCCCUGUGCCUUCCCCUUCGGGUUUGCUCUUGAUCGAGUGUCCCGGGUGGUCGGCGUGUUUACUUUGAAUAAAUUAGAGUGCUCAAAACAGGAAGAAUAUGACGCCUGUAUAGAGUUGCAUGGAAUAAUGGAACAGGACCCGGGCUCCGACCGUUUUGUCCAGUUUGGAGGAGCCUGGGUAAUGAUUAAAAGAGACUGCCGGGGGCAUCUGUACUGCAGCGCGAGAGGUGAAAUUCUAUGACCGUUGCAUGACAAACAACAGCGAAAGCAUUUGCCAAGAAUGUCUUCAU
This 1119-nucleotide ribosomal RNA is filed under the name Allogalathea elegans. RNAcentral's name for it is "bacterial SSU rRNA". It matches the Rfam family "Eukaryotic small subunit ribosomal RNA", at positions 42 to 984 of the family's 1831-position model. Lineage: Eukaryota; Metazoa; Arthropoda; Malacostraca; Decapoda; Galatheidae. The record is from RNAcentral.